RNAcentral lists this ribosomal RNA (254 nucleotides) under uncultured bacterium. RNAcentral's name for it is "partial 16S ribosomal RNA". It matches the Rfam family "Bacterial small subunit ribosomal RNA", at positions 524 to 776 of the family's 1533-position model. The record is from RNAcentral.
UACGUAGGAUCCAAGCGUUAUCCGGAAUUACUGGGCGUAAAGAGUUGCGUAGGCGGUCUGGAAAGCAGUUAGUGAAAGCGUGUGGCUCAACCAUACACACAUUAACUGAACUCUCGGACUAGAGUAUGGGAGAGGUAGAUGGAAUUGCUAGUGUAGGAGUGAAAUCCGUAGAUAUUAGCAGGAACACCGAUGGCGUAAGCAGUCUACUGGCCCAUUACUGACGCUAAGGCACGAAAGCGUGGGGAGCAAACGGG